GAGGGUAUAGCUCACGUGGUAGAGCGUGUGCUUAGCAUGCACAAGGUCCCGGGUUCAAUCCCCAGUACCUUCU
This 73-nucleotide transfer RNA is filed under the name Camelus bactrianus (Bactrian camel). It matches the Rfam family "tRNA". From Rfam's summary of the family: Transfer RNA (tRNA) molecules are approximately 80 nucleotides in length. Their secondary structure includes four short double-helical elements and three loops (D, anti-codon, and T loops). RNAcentral also lists the same sequence under 2 other names. The record is from Rfam by way of RNAcentral. Lineage: Eukaryota; Metazoa; Chordata; Mammalia; Artiodactyla; Camelidae.